This 62-nucleotide small nucleolar RNA is filed under the name Sphenodon punctatus (tuatara). RNAcentral's name for it is "Small nucleolar RNA Z39 (ENSSPUG00000003315.1)". It matches the Rfam family "Small nucleolar RNA Z39". Rfam says of the family: Z39 is a member of the C/D class of snoRNA which contain the C (UGAUGA) and D (CUGA) box motifs. Most of the members of the box C/D family function in directing site-specific 2'-O-methylation of substrate RNAs. Lineage: Eukaryota; Metazoa; Chordata; Lepidosauria; Sphenodontia; Sphenodontidae. The record is from Rfam by way of RNAcentral.
GCACAAAUGAUGUGAACACAACAGUAUGAAACACAAUGAUACUGUAAACGCUUUCUGAGGUG